GAUGAACGCUGGCGGCGUGCCUAAUACAUGCAAGUCGAGCGAACGGACGAGAAGCUUGCUUCUCUGAUGUUAGCGGCGGACGGGUGAGUAACACGUGGAUAACCUACCUAUAAGACUGGGAUAACUUCGGGAAACCGGAGCUAAUACCGGAUAAUAUUUUGAACCGCAUGGUUCAAAAGUGAAAGACGGUCUUGCUGUCACUUAUAGAUGGAUCCGCGCUGCAUUAGCUAGUUGGUAAGGUAACGGCUUACCAAGGCAACGAUGCAUAGCCGACCUGAGAGGGGGAUCGGCCACACUGGAACUGAGACACGGUCCAGACUCCUACGGGAGGCAGCAGUAGGGAAUCUUCCGCAAUGGGCGAAAGCCUGACGGAGCAACGCCGCGUGAGUGAUGAAGGUCUUCGGAUCGUAAAACUCUGUUAUUAGGGAAGAACAUAUGUGUAAGUAACUGUGCACAUCUUGACGUUACCUAAUCAGAAAGCCACGGCUAACUACGUG
Molecule: ribosomal RNA, 497 nt
Filed under: uncultured bacterium
Lineage: Bacteria
Description: partial 16S ribosomal RNA
Rfam family: Bacterial small subunit ribosomal RNA
Source: RNAcentral